UACGUAGGGGGCAAGCGUUGUCCGGAAUCAUUGGGCGUAAAGAGCGUGUAGGCGGCCAGAUAAGUCCGCUGUGAAAACUCGAGGCUCAACUUCGAGCUGUCGGUGGAAACUAUUUGGCUAGAGUCCGGAAGAGGAGAGUGGAAUUCCUGGUGUAGCGGUGAAAUGCGUAGAUAUCUGGAGGAACACCGGUGGCGAAGGCGGCAUCCUGGACCAAUACUGACGCUGAGGAGCGAAAGCCAGGGGAGCAAACGGG
RNAcentral lists this ribosomal RNA (253 nucleotides) under uncultured bacterium. RNAcentral describes it as "partial 16S ribosomal RNA". It matches the Rfam family "Bacterial small subunit ribosomal RNA", at positions 524 to 776 of the family's 1533-position model. The record is from RNAcentral.